Long non-coding RNA from Gorilla gorilla gorilla (western lowland gorilla), 575 nucleotides. RefSeq lists it as uncharacterized. The transcript is spliced from 4 exons. Lineage: Eukaryota; Metazoa; Chordata; Mammalia; Primates; Hominidae. The record is from RefSeq and is a predicted model, not a curated record.
GUUUUUCUCCAGAGGAAAAAUAAAGCAUUUAGGUUUAUAAACUUGGACAGUACAAAUAAGAAUAAAGAAGGUCAAAAAUUACCUUUAUUGAUCUCGCCAUUCAGAAGCAACUGUUUGCCCACGUUGAAAGGGAUUUGGAGCAAGAGAAACUCUGGUUUGCAUCCCAGCGCUGCCACUUGCUCUCCCUGAGACCUUGGACAAGUGAUUGGGCCUCUCUGCACCUCAGCUUUCCCUGGGGAGAGCCAUCAUUUACCCACCUUAUCUCAUUUUCAUAACAAUCUUGCAAGAAAAGUGCACAGCACAGUGCCUGGUGGGCACUCAGUUUUUAUGUGAUGCAUCUGUCAACUUCCCAAAGAAACUACUGGAGAAAAACCCCACAUUAAAGUUCAGACUCAUUGCAGUAAAGGAGAACCCCUGAUAGUUUGAGUCUUCUCAGGUCAAAGCUUCCAUCUCUCCCUGUUUCAUGAACUUAACUUCUGAGGAGUACUGGUCAGGUGUUCUGUAGGAUGUCCACCUGCUGUUGGUCUGAUGCUUUUCACAUGAGGAUCCUGGGGUGAUGCUUCCCAAGAAGACGA